RNAcentral lists this ribosomal RNA (465 nucleotides) under uncultured bacterium. RNAcentral's name for it is "partial 16S ribosomal RNA". It matches the Rfam family "Bacterial small subunit ribosomal RNA", at positions 28 to 507 of the family's 1533-position model. The record is from RNAcentral.
GACGAACGCUGGCGGCGUGCUUAACACAUGCAAGUCGAACGGAAAGGCCCCUUUGGGGGUACUCGAGUGGCGCACGGGUGAGUAACACGUGAGUAACCUGCCCUUGACUUCGGGAUAACUUCAGGAAACUGGGGCUAAUACCGGAUAGGAAUCCUUGCUGCAUGGUGGGGGUUGGAAAGCUUCGGCGGUUUUGGAUGGACUCGCGGCUUAUCAGCUUGUUGGUGGGGUAGUGGCUUACCAAGGCUUUGACGGGUAGCCGGCCUGAGAGGGCGACCGGCCACAUUGGGACUGAGAUACGGCCCAGACUCCUACGGGAGGCAGCAGUGGGGAAUAUUGCACAAUGGGCGGAAGCCUGAUGCAGCAACGCCGCGGGCGGGAUGACGGCCUUCGGGUUGGAAACCGCUUUCAGCAGGGGCGAAGCUUGUGGUGACGGUACCUGCAGAAGAAGCACCGGCUAACUACGUG